Proteobacteria bacterium HN_bin10 is the source of this 51-nucleotide non-coding RNA. The record is from Rfam. Lineage: Bacteria; Pseudomonadati; Pseudomonadota.
GCGGGCUCAUCACGCGGGCGCCCGCUCAGACGAUGAUCGUCCAAGUCCCGC